Molecule: long non-coding RNA, 772 nt
Filed under: Olea europaea subsp. europaea
Lineage: Eukaryota; Viridiplantae; Streptophyta; Magnoliopsida; Lamiales; Oleaceae
Source: RNAcentral
AAACAUUUAAAAAUCAACCAAAUAAUUCAUCACAAACACUCCCCCACGCCACUCCACCCACUUUCUCCACCACCACAGCCCCUACCAAAAAAAUCCCCAAAUCUGAUGUUGGGCGCACAAAAACCACUGAUACCACUGCCUGUAUCAACAAAAUCACCUUCACCACUACAUCCAACAACGCCACCUUUAGAUCCAUCGUCGAUCCAACAAAACCCACCUUCAUCGCUAGAUCCACUACCAUCGCCACCAACAAAUACCACAACCAAAACAUGUAAACCAUCACCACCACAAUUCACUGCGUGAGGAACCUCUGCCACCACCCAUAGACAACAAAUACAGACUCACCGAGUCCAACACAGACCAACAUCCCAACCCUAUACUGACGCACCGCUACCACCCUGAAUAUUGCCUCACAACGCAACACACCCAAUCAUCGCCACCAACACCAUUGCACCGCUACUACCAUGUGGUGCAUACGUAACGAUGACAAAUAGCAGAUUGCUGCAGUGAUGAAGACAUCGCAGCGACGACACACUAAUUGAUCUACGAUGCAGGCGAUAGGUGUGCAGGUCGUUGUCGACGAUGGUGCUCGAUGAGAGAGAGAGAAAAAGUGAGAGAGGGAUUGAAAAUUAGGAAGGAAAUAAAUAUUAGGGUUUGGGGGUGUGGGUAUGUAAUUAAUUGAAUUUGAUUAUAUUAUUAUUUAAUAUAAAAAAUAUAUUAUCAUAUGAUUUUUGUAUUAUUCUGAUUUUUAAAAUGCAAUAUUUAAAAUAGG